CAGCUCCGCUUUUAUGUCUUUCUGUUCGCCUUUCCCUCUCCAUCCCCGUUUCUCUCUCUCUCCUUUUUGUUCUUCGUUAGCUCUACCCGUUCCGUCCUCUCCCGCGUUGCGGCUCGUGUUGUUCGAAUUGGCGUCGUCGUGAGUGUCUCCCAUCUCACCCGCUCCAGCAUCGCUCGUGGAGCUCCGCGCGUUCUUGUGUUAUUGCUGUUUGCUUUCCGCGUGGCCCUUGUGCGAUCGCUUCCUCGCGAAUAGCCGCCGCGCCCUUCCUCCACUCGCGUGGUCAAACCUUGCGUGAGUACCGAAAACGAUACACGUAUAUAAAGACGUAACAAGCGAAAGCAGCCUACUUACUCCGUCACCCCUCCCCCUCAGCCAGCCAGCCAGCCACAAACACUCUUACACACAGACACACACAGAGAGAGCGCGAGACGUACGUAACGUAACCUACGCCCACCCUCGACUGUGAUACGUUGAAGGCGAGAACACUCGCACGCAAUAUAAGGCAGAUACGGCAACUGAGCCCCCCCCCUCCCCUCGUCCCACACACGCACACACAAACCGACGGACAGCGUUCCAGUCAAGGCCGGCUACACACGGAGAACGAAGACGGACGGAGAGGUGCAACGCCAAGGAAACAAAACACACACAAGCAAAAAAAGAGAACGUAUUUAUUAUAGGUGGUUCCUUUAUUGUGUUGUGUUUUGUUGUGUUUUGUCUAUCCUCCUCCUUCGCCUGUGUGCUGCUUUAGAAAAGGACCACCACACGCAGACCACCAUCACCACCACCAUAAACGGGUCAGGGAAAAAAACACACAAAAACGAAAUAUAAAAAUAUCCAAAAAAAAAAAGGAAAAACGUUUUUUCUCGUGUGUUGUUUUUAGAUUUUGUUUGUGUGUGUGUGUGUGUGUGUUGUUUGCGCCCAGCUGCGGUCGGGACGUCACUUUCAUUUUUUUAUUAUUUUUUGAUUUGUUGUUGGGGGUUGUUUAUAUCACGCGCACGCACAAGGAGACAUCCUUUCACCAUCCCUCUCUCCCUAUAUAUAUAUAUAUACGUACGUAUAUGUAAACGUGACGAAGCCGAGAAGGUAACGCAGCUGCACGUUAAAGAAAAAACACACAAACACUCCACACGUUGCGACACAUAUGUGCAUGCCCUACUAAGACAAAAACAAGACCACCUCCCCACCCAGACACCCACCCCCACCCAUCGGAGAGGCAGUCUUGUGGCAUGAGCGGUGUGUUUUCUUCUGAGCAUCAUCCUUCGCUUCCUCUCAAUCUCGCAGCAUCCCUCUCUUUGUAAAGGGCCUACGGAACGAGUGCGUUACUUACGGGAAAACGAAAGGAAAAGGAGUCGAAGCAGUCGCCUGCCCAGGAAUCAUCGCUCUCUGUCGCACUGUGUCUGCUUGCUCUCAUUGUCUGCCCAUCCACCCUCCCCUUUCUUUUCGUGUGCUUGUCCCGCAUCUGUCUGUCCGUCUUCAG
Molecule: unclassified non-coding RNA, 1477 nt
Filed under: Leishmania donovani
Lineage: Eukaryota; Euglenozoa; Kinetoplastea; Trypanosomatida; Trypanosomatidae
Description: gene:unknown
Source: RNAcentral